GCGCGAUACAGGGUGACAGCCCCGUACACAAAAGCGCAUGUGCUGUGAGCUCGAUGAGUAGGGCGGGACACGUGGUAUCCUGUCUGAAUAUGGGGGGACCAUCCUCCAAGGCUAAAUACUCCUGACUGACCGAUAGUGAACCAGUACCGUGAGGGAAAGGCGAAAAGAACCCCGGCGAGGGGAGUGAAAAAGAACCUGAAACCGUGUACGUACAAGCAGUGGGAGCACAGGUUUACCUGUGUGACUGCGUACCUUUUGUAUAAUGGGUCAGCGACUUAUAUUCUGUAGCAAGGUUAACCGAAUAGGGGAGCCGGAGGGAAACCGAGUCUUAAUUGGGCGUUAAGUUGCAGGGUAUAGACCCGAAACCCGGUGAUCUAGCCAUGGGCAGGUUGAAGGUUGGGUAACACUAACUGGAGGACCGAACCGACUAAUGUUGAAAAAUUAGCGGAUGACCUGUGGCU
RNAcentral lists this ribosomal RNA (461 nucleotides) under Salmonella enterica. RNAcentral describes it as "partial 23S ribosomal RNA". It matches the Rfam family "Bacterial large subunit ribosomal RNA", at positions 352 to 816 of the family's 2925-position model. Lineage: Bacteria; Pseudomonadati; Pseudomonadota; Gammaproteobacteria; Enterobacterales; Enterobacteriaceae. RNAcentral also lists the same sequence under 1 other name. The record is from RNAcentral.